Molecule: long non-coding RNA, 1373 nt
Filed under: Olea europaea (common olive)
Lineage: Eukaryota; Viridiplantae; Streptophyta; Magnoliopsida; Lamiales; Oleaceae
Description: long non-coding RNA (OEUR_LNC006753)
Source: RNAcentral
UCGAAUGAUGUUGACAAAAUUAAGCAUUGAACAUUGAAGUCUACUACUACAAAGAAGUUGUUAUGGUACGAACAAAGCAUAUAGCAAUUACAAAUUGACAUCAUUCUUUCAUGUCUGUGCCUUCCCCUUCCCAUCGCAUUCUACAAUUCCUUUUCCUUUGCGAAAUGUUACAUCGACGUCUCGUUUCUCAAUAAUUCGAGCUAGGCUAUCAAAGAGUCUUGGCAAGUCUUCAUAUUCCUCGUUCGGCUAAUGGUUCACCUCUUCAUUAACGGUACUCGACUCUCCACUAAAAUCUUCAUUUCUCACCCAAUCGAAAUAUCCACAGUCAUUACUACAUGUGAAGAACAACCGCCCUUUGUUUUCAGUACUCCGUUCUACCUCAAAGCAUUUGUGAAAUUUGCGUUUACAUGAAGGGCAUCCAUGUAACAUUGUCCAAAGUAAUGAAUGUUACUUCUAUAGCUGUGACAAACUCUGAAAUUCAUUCCUCUCAUUCUACUCAACAAUUGUUCAAGAAACAAAUAAACCCACAUGUCUCACAUUGGAACUUAUGAGCAGUAGUACAUUGCAAACAAAGCACCAACUUAAUAUUGUAUUUCACUAACAUUCAUUUACUACCCUCUUGCAAAUACAAAUUCCAUAAAAUCAGGAUAAUUUCUUCUACUAUUACUCAGCUUCGAAAUUGGCCACAAAUUCAACAAGCUUUCCACAAUAUAAACAGAGAGCGAAAAUGAUAGAUUUCAAAUUCAGCAAACUUUCCACAGAAAAUUGUUGAAACGAAAUUAAGAAAAAAGAUGAUUUCACAAGUUUUCAUGUACGAGCUACCCUAUUUACAAGCAACAAGCAAAAUGCCAUUUCAAUAACAUGCUAAUAAUCUGAAGAACAAUAAAAAUUGAGCAAGCCGUGCCAUUAUUUAAUUAGGAAUCGAAAAGUUUUUUUGCCACAAAAUUUGUGAAAAUUCAUCAAUUUAUGAACAAACUUACAAAUUUACGACGAACACAAUUUCAAAACCUUCAACCUCAUCAAGUAAGGCUCCAUAAUGUUCAUACUUCAAAUAUAUGUCAAAAUAAAGAGGAAAAAACACCCAAAUCAAUCAAAGAAGUCUAAGACAGCUUAAAGAGAAAUUAGUGUAAAACAAUACAUAUCAAAAUACCUUUGCUCAGCUUAGACACGUAGACAUCGGCAUUGUCUUCGAAUUCUAUUUUCACCUUCGGUUUCGAUAGCUUGCCUCACACUACAUUAGAAGGAUGUUUUGGAAUAGAUGAACCCGUGCUUGUUUUUCCUUUUUCAACCCAGAAAUUCGACGAUGAAGAGCGAUGGGAAGAGUAACGGAUUUCUCUUGCUUUCUGGUUUGAAGGGAAAAAGGAAAUGAUUUC